AUGUUCACUUUGGCAGCACAUAUACUAAAAUUGGAACGAUAGAGAUUAGCAUGGCCCCUGCGCAAGGUAUGACACGAAUUCGUGAAGUGUUCCAUAUUAAU
This 101-nucleotide small nuclear RNA is filed under the name Nannospalax galili (Upper Galilee mountains blind mole rat). Lineage: Eukaryota; Metazoa; Chordata; Mammalia; Rodentia; Spalacidae. The record is from RNAcentral.